AGGGGAAGUACGGUCUCCCCUUGAGGCUUCGGUCCAAGAACUGU
RNAcentral lists this non-coding RNA (44 nucleotides) under unclassified sequences. The record is from RNAcentral.